GUAAAAGCAUCCUAGGAUGUAUCAGCUCUUGGAAACAAGAAGGUUAUAAAUAUAACAGACCGUUGGCAAAGAAUUAUUGAAUCCUGCAGCUGCUAAAUCUCAAGCAGGAAGAGUUUGUGAGAUGUUCAUAUUGCAAUUGGGUAUCUGCAUCAUACCUUUCACCCUCAUAAUUCCACCAUGCCGGCAAUUAGUUGUUCUGAUUGCUAAGCUUCAGCAGCUUUACACAACUAUAACCAGCAUCCUAUCAGCACCUGCACCCAUCUGGAGACGAUUGGUGAGGCUUGACUCUAUGGUUUUGAUGCCAUGACAUUAAGGUGGCCAUCAUAAAUAUUACAGGACAACUUGUGGUCGUGCUUUCUGGUUUUGAAUCUCUGCUUCAGUGAGUGGUUUUGAAUUCGACAAGCAAAAUUCUUGCGAGAUGUAACGCACCUACCAACUUGAGAUUCCCUGCGAUUCUCCAGCGACAACCGAUUAUCCCAAGUAUCAGUGCUGAUGAAACUUUCGUGGAGCAAAACAUGUGAUAUCCACUGAAGGAAAAUCACACCAGGCCAUACUCAUCCUUGAAGGGGAUUGUUGCUGGGUCCUGCGAAAUUGGGCAUGCAUGGAAUCUGAGAGGAGGUUUUUGUGAAGUAAGUCCAUCUUUGUUUUAUAAGUGGAACAUAUGUCUGUAUUUCUUGAAGAAAGGAAGAAGGAGAAGUCUGCAAGAAACUUAUAUUUUCUCUAGACGAACAUUUGAAAGGUUUGGCGAUUA
Molecule: long non-coding RNA, 751 nt
Organism: Phoenix dactylifera (date palm)
Lineage: Eukaryota; Viridiplantae; Streptophyta; Magnoliopsida; Arecales; Arecaceae
Source: RefSeq, a predicted model, not a curated record